UGGGGAAUAUUGCACAAUGGGGGAAACCCCGAUGCAGCGACGCCGCGUGAGCGAAGAAGGCCUUCGGUUCGUAAAGCUCUUUUAUGAGGGAAGAUAAUGACGGUACCUCAAGAAAAAGCCCCGGCUAACUACGUGCCAGCAGCCGCGGUAAUACGUAGGGGGCUAGCGUUGUCCGGAAUCACUGGGCGUAAAGGGUUCGCCGGCGGAAUAACAAGUCAGAUGUGAAAGGCAUGGGCUCAACCCAUGUAGGCAUUUGAAACUGUAAUUCUUGGGAAGUGGAGAGGGAAGUGGAAUUCCUGGUGUAGCGGUGAAAUGCGUAGAUAUUAGAAGGAAUACCUGUAGCGAAGGCGACUUACUGGACACAAAUCUGACGCUGAGGAACGAAAGCGUGGGUAGCAAACAGG
RNAcentral lists this ribosomal RNA (404 nucleotides) under Verrucomicrobiota bacterium. RNAcentral's name for it is "Verrucomicrobia bacterium partial 16S ribosomal RNA". It matches the Rfam family "Bacterial small subunit ribosomal RNA", at positions 355 to 776 of the family's 1533-position model. The record is from RNAcentral. Lineage: Bacteria; Pseudomonadati; Verrucomicrobiota.